AUGAACGCUGGCGGCGUGCCUAAUACAUGCAAGUCGAGCGAACAGACGAGGAGCUUGCUCCUCUGACGUUAGCGGCGGACGGGUGAGUAACACGUGGAUAACCUACCUAUAAGACUGGGAUAACUUCGGGAAACCGGAGCUAAUACCGGAUAAUAUAUUGAACCGCAUGGUUCAAUAGUGAAAGUCGGUUUUGCUGUCACUUAUAGAUGGAUCCGCGCCGCAUUAGCUAGUUGGUAAGGUAACGGCUUACCAAGGCGACGAUGCGUAGCCGACCUGAGAGGGUGAUCGGCCACACUGGAACUGAGACACGGUCCAGACUCCUACGGGAGGCAGCAGUAGGGAAUCUUCCGCAAUGGGCGAAAGCCUGACGGAGCAACGCCGCGUGAGUGAUGAAGGUCUUCGGAUCGUAAAACUCUGUUAUUAGGGAAGAACAAAUGUGUAAGUAACUAUGCACGUCUUGACGGUACCUAAUCAGAAAGCCACGGCUAACUACGUG
This 496-nucleotide ribosomal RNA is filed under the name uncultured bacterium. RNAcentral describes it as "partial 16S ribosomal RNA". It matches the Rfam family "Bacterial small subunit ribosomal RNA", at positions 29 to 507 of the family's 1533-position model. The record is from RNAcentral.